RNAcentral lists this ribosomal RNA (330 nucleotides) under uncultured fungus. Its description in RNAcentral is "eukaryotic LSU rRNA". The stretch from base 1 to 52 matches the Rfam family "5.8S ribosomal RNA", at positions 103 to 154 of the family's 154-position model. The record is from RNAcentral. Lineage: Eukaryota; Fungi.
AACGCACCUUGCGCUCGCUGGUAUUCCGGCGAGCAUGCCUGUUUGAGUGUCAUGAACUCUUCAACCCUUCAGUUCCUUGUUGAACUGCAAGGUGUUUGGAUCUUGAGCGUUUUGCUGGCUACUCUCUUUGUUGAAAGUGGCGAAGCUCGUUCGUAAUAUAUUAGCAUCUCAAUUUCGAAAAUAUCGGAUUGACUCGGCGUAAUAGACUUUUAUUCGCUGAGGAUACCUUUUUAAGGUGGCCGAAUUUCGGGGUAGAAGCUUCAAAUACCAAUUGAAGUCAUUCCUUUAAGAUUAGACCUCAAAUCAGGCAGGACUACCCGCUGAACUUAA